UACGGGGGAGCAAGCGUUGUUCGGGUUUACUGGGCGUAAAGGGCGCGUAGGCGGCGCAACAAGUCACUUGUGAAAUCUCCGGGCUUAACUCGGAACGGUCAAGUGAUACUGUUGUGCUAGAGUGCGGAAGGGGCAACUGGAAUUCUCGGUGUAGCGGUGAAAUGCGUAGAUAUCGAGAGGAACACCUGCGGCGAAGGCGGGUUGCUGGGCCGACACUGACGCUGAUGCGCGAAAGCCAGGGGAGCGAACGGG
RNAcentral lists this ribosomal RNA (252 nucleotides) under uncultured bacterium. Its description in RNAcentral is "partial 16S ribosomal RNA". It matches the Rfam family "Bacterial small subunit ribosomal RNA", at positions 524 to 776 of the family's 1533-position model. The record is from RNAcentral.